CCACACCUAAAACUUUCACGUGAACUGUGUUGUCGCUGUUGGGGGCUGGGCUGGCGCUUUUGGGCGUCGGCUGGGCUCCAUCAAACGAGGCUCUGGGCUGCAAAGUCGAGGGUAGUAGUUACUUUUUGUAAACCCUUUCUUCUUUUUCUGAUCAUACGGGGGGGACAAAAGUCUCUGCUUUUAACUAGAUAGCACCUUUCACCAGGGGAUGUCUAGGCUCGCACAUCGAUAAAAAACGCUGCGAACUGCGAUACGUAAUGCGAAUUGCAGGAUUCAUGGAGUCAUYRAAAUUUUGAACGCAUAUGGCNCUUCCGGGUUAUGCCUGGAAGUAUGCCUGUAUCAGUGUCCGUACMUCCAUUUUGGNCUUCCUUCCUUCCGKGUAGYCGGKGGCGGGAACGCGCARACKUGAAGUGUCUUGCUGGCUGGUYUUCCUUUUGGGGGGGGCGUGGCCGGCGAGUCCUUUGAAAUGUAAGACACUGUUCUUCUCUUUGCUGGAAAAGCGCGCGUUGUGUGGUUGUGGAGGCUGCCGUUGUGGCCAGUCGGCGACUGACUUCGUGCUGAGGCGUGUGGAGAGGAGCUCGAUUCGCGGUAUGGUUGGCUUCGGCUGAACUUCUGCUUAUGGGGCUGUUUUCUGCUGUUUCGGCGUGGCGGGGUUGGUGAACCGUAGUCAUGGUGGCUUGGCUUUUGAACCGCGCGGCUGGUGCGCGAAGUAUGGUGGCUUCGGCCGAGAGGACGACCUAUUUGGGACGAUUGUGCGGCCUCGUGCUGCAUCUCAA
Molecule: ribosomal RNA, 776 nt
Filed under: Phytophthora sp. 'napoensis'
Lineage: Eukaryota; Oomycota; Peronosporomycetes; Peronosporales; Peronosporaceae
Description: eukaryotic LSU rRNA
Rfam family: 5.8S ribosomal RNA (bases 194-348)
Source: RNAcentral